This is a long non-coding RNA of Perognathus longimembris pacificus (Pacific pocket mouse), 167 nucleotides long. RefSeq lists it as uncharacterized. The transcript is spliced from 3 exons. NCBI's taxonomy places the organism in Eukaryota, Metazoa, Chordata, Mammalia, Rodentia, Heteromyidae. The record is from RefSeq and is a predicted model, not a curated record.
AGAGCGAUUCUAUCUGUGGAUUUAGAAAAUGACAUAGUUUUACACAUACAGUAAUAGUCACGGCGGAGAAAGUGAUUCUCUACCAAAUUCAGUGAUCUCAAAGCUAUCAGAAGAUUGGGCCCCUCUUGCCAUUUUAACUUUUUCAGAAUAUCUGGACUGUAAGGCCU